ACUACUAUGAACCAAGACCUAAUGGCCACCUAUUCCCUAUAUAGUGCACUACUAUGAACCAAGACCUAAUGGCCACCUAUUCCCUAUAUAGUGCACUUCAACAGAGUGGGGAAUAGAGUGUCAUUUGAGACGCAAACUGCAAAUAGACAACAGCCUUCCUCCGGGGGAGGAGUCGGCUUUCUCCUAACUCACCUGGAUGUUACAGUUUGUCAGGUUCAGAGAACCCUGUUGACCAAUAAAAAGGGUCCUGGAUGUUACAGUUUGUCAGGUUCAGAGAACCCUGUUGACCAAUACAAAGGGACCUGGAUGUUACAGUUUGUCAGGUUCAGAGAACCCUGUUGACCAAUAAAAAGGGACCUGGAUGUUACAGUUUGUCAGGUUCAGAGAACCCUGUUGACCAAUAAAAAGGGACCUGGAUGUUACAGUUUGUCAGGUUCAGAGAACCCUGUUGACCAAUAAAAAGGGUCCUGGAUGUUACAGUUUGUCAGGUUCAGAGAACCCUGUUGACCAAUAAAAAGGGACCUGGAUGUUACAGUUUGUCAGGUUCAGAGAACCCUGUUGACCAAUAAAAAGGGACCUGGAUGUUACAGUUUGUCAGGUUCAGAGAACCCGAUUGACCAAUAAAAAGGGACCUGGAUGUUACAGUACUCUAAGAAAGUGAUUACUACACACCAUCAUUACAGUAUGUUUUAGGAGUGUUGACAGAAUGAUGUAACCAACCAUUUAUUUUUAUACAAAUUGGGCAACAUCUUGUAUUUUCCUGAAAUGUAUACAAAAUACAGUUCUGAGAUCAUUUUUAGUGAGAGCAGAAUUGGUGGAAAUGACAGAAUGCCAACUAGUUCUGGAUAAAUCAACAAAAUGUUUAAUUUUUUUUAGCUAGAUGUGGAGUUUUUUAAAAAUGUAGCGAUAAAUUAGAUCAAUCCUGAACUGUGAGAUGUAGUAGGGAGUUGUAAUUUCCAACAGGCCAACAUUGUACAUAGUUUACCGCAGAAAACUUGGUAAUUAACUACAAUGACUAUAAUCUUUCCCGCUGAGAGAAGAGAGAAGCACCGAUCGAGGGA
Oncorhynchus mykiss (rainbow trout) is the source of this 1061-nucleotide non-coding RNA. The record is from RefSeq and is a predicted model, not a curated record. NCBI's taxonomy places the organism in Eukaryota, Metazoa, Chordata, Actinopteri, Salmoniformes, Salmonidae.